RNAcentral lists this ribosomal RNA (469 nucleotides) under uncultured bacterium. RNAcentral describes it as "bacterial SSU rRNA". It matches the Rfam family "Bacterial small subunit ribosomal RNA", at positions 25 to 507 of the family's 1533-position model. The record is from RNAcentral.
CAGGACGAACGCUGGCGGCGCGCCUAACACAUGCAAGUCGAACGAGCGAGAGAGAGCUUGCUUCUCGAGCGAGUGGCGAACGGGUGAGUAACGCGUGAGGAACCUGCCUCAAAGAGGGGGACAACAGUUGGAAACGACUGCUAAUACCGCAUAAGCCCACGGCUCGGCAUCGAGCAGAGGGAAAAGGAGCAAUCCGCUUUGAGAUGGCCUCGCGUCCGAUUAGCUAGUUGGUGAGGUAACGGGCCCACCAAGGCGACGAUCGGUAGCCGGACUGAGAGGUUGAACGGCCACAUUGGGACUGAGACACGGCCCAGACUCCUACGGGAGGCAGCAGUGGGGAAUAUUGCACAAUGGGGGAAACCCUGAUGCAGCGACGCCGCGUGGAGGAAGAAGGUCUUCGGAUUGUAAACUCCUGUUGUUGAGGAAGAUAAUGACGAUACUCAACAAGGAAGUGACGGCUAACUACGUG